This 282-nucleotide non-coding RNA is filed under the name Dehalogenimonas sp. RNAcentral describes it as "T-box sequence". It matches the Rfam family "T-box leader". Rfam says of the family: Uncharged tRNA acts as the effector for transcription antitermination of genes in the T-box leader family. Lineage: Bacteria; Bacillati; Chloroflexota; Dehalococcoidia; Dehalococcoidales; Dehalococcoidaceae. The record is from RNAcentral.
UUAACAGCGUUGAUCCAGACGAGUAGGUAGCUGGCGGACUUCAGAGAGCCGGGCAAGGUGUGAGCCGGUAGUUGCGCAGAUACUGAAUGGACUGGGGAGCUUCAGACCGAAAGCCGGAAGGCGAAUAGGCUCUGACGGAAAGGGCGCCGUUAGCUGGCCCAGGGUAUCGCCGUACCGUUGAGUACGAGCCGUAUCCGGCAAUGAGAUGGUUUCUAGCUAUCGCUUUUGAUAAAGAAACCGAACCAGGGUGGCACCGCGAGAUUUAAGGCUCUCGCCCCUAGU